UGAGUGACACUGAGAGAUGAUGAUGAUGAUGAUGAUGAAGGAGUGAGUGACGUGCUGGCUGAGUGACACUGAUCGAUGAUGAUGAUGAUGAUGAUGAUGAUGAAGGAGUGUCAGUCUGACGUGCUGGCUGAGUGACACUGAGAGAUGAUGAUGAUGAUGAUGAUGAAGGAGUGUCAGUCUGACGUGCUGGCUGAGUGACACUGAGCGAUGAUGAUGAUGAUGAUGAUGAAGGAGUGUCAGUCUGACGUGCUGGCUGAGUGACACUGAGAGAUGAUGAUGAUGAUGAUGAAGGAGUGUCAGUCUGACGUGCUGGCUGAGUGUUUCCAGGCGGUCAGCCUGCAGACCAGCUUGCCCUGUCAGUGUCCAGCCCCUGCAUGACCUGUCCUGGACUGACCCCUGUGUUGUCUUGCCUGCAGGACACAGUGAGGUGGACGUGGAAGGGGCUGAGUUGGUGAGUGCUGGGAGAGCUCCUGUGGUCUGUGGUCUCCUGUGGGCUCCUGUAGGCUCCUGUGGGCUCUUGUAGACUCCAGUGGGCUCCUGCGGGCUCCUGCGGGCUCCAGUGGGCUCCUGCGGGCUCCUGUAGACUCCAUUGGGCUCCUGUAGGCUCCCGCGGGCUCCUGUAGGCUCCUGUAGACUCCAGUGGGCUCCUGUAGGCUCCUGUAGGCUCCUGCGGACUCCUGCGGACUCCUGUAGGCUCCUGUAGGCUCCUGUGGGCUCCUGUAGGCUCCUGUGGGCUCCUGUAGACUCCUGUAGCACACGCCCUCUGUCAUGUUAACUGCUGUGCUCUCCUUGCAGGACCCAGGUCAUGUGGUACACAGCCUCUCAGCUCUACACCAACGUCACAGUGGAGUUCCUGCCUGUCUACACCCCCUCGCAGGAAGAGCGGGAGAGCCCCGCCCUCUUCGCGGACAACGUGCGGAAGGUCAUGGCCAGGUGAGUGGCCGCGGGGCGCGUGGGCUGACCUGGGAUUGAAGCGUCUUGGGCUCGGUCUGCGUCCGGAGCUCUUAACAGAGCCUCUGAGCCUCACUAUCGCUCUGGUGCAGGACCCGCAGGCCCGGGGCUUCACGCUAAAUUUAAGAACGUAAAGCAAUACCCAAACAUCCUCCUUCCUAGUUGC
This 1117-nucleotide long non-coding RNA is filed under the name Lepisosteus oculatus (spotted gar). Its description in RNAcentral is "lncRNA (ENSLOCG00000021957.1)". Lineage: Eukaryota; Metazoa; Chordata; Actinopteri; Semionotiformes; Lepisosteidae. The record is from RNAcentral.